This 253-nucleotide ribosomal RNA is filed under the name uncultured bacterium. Its description in RNAcentral is "partial 16S ribosomal RNA". It matches the Rfam family "Bacterial small subunit ribosomal RNA", at positions 524 to 776 of the family's 1533-position model. The record is from RNAcentral.
UACGGAGGGGGCUAGCGUUGUUCGGAAUGACUGGGCGUAAAGCGCACGUAGGCGGCUUUGCAAGUUAGAGGUGAAAGCCCGGGGCUCAACUCCGGAAUUGCCUUUAAAACUGCAUCGCUAGAAUUGUGGAGAGGUAAGUGGAAUUCCGAGUGUAGAGGUGAAAUUCGUAGAUAUUCGGAAGAACACCAGUGGCGAAGGCGACUUACUGGACACAUAUUGACGCUGAGGUGCGAAAGCGUGGGGAGCAAACAGG